Non-coding RNA from Theobroma cacao (cacao), 160 nucleotides. The record is from RefSeq and is a predicted model, not a curated record. NCBI's taxonomy places the organism in Eukaryota, Viridiplantae, Streptophyta, Magnoliopsida, Malvales, Malvaceae.
AGGGAAAAGUGUGAAAAUUCAAGGAAACAAGUGAAAAAAAGGUGGUGAGCAUUCUAGCAAAAGUAAAGAGAUAGUACCCGAAGAUCAAGAAUUGGAGUACUUGAAAUUCGACUCUCGAAAUAGCUCAGGAUAGUCGAUAGAUAGCUCAUUUCAUUGAGGG